Molecule: ribosomal RNA, 587 nt
Filed under: uncultured bacterium
Lineage: Bacteria
Description: partial 16S ribosomal RNA
Rfam family: Bacterial small subunit ribosomal RNA
Source: RNAcentral
UGGGGAAUUUUGGACAAUGGGGGAAACCCUGAUCCAGCCAUCCCGCGUGUGCGAUGAAGGCCUUCGGGUUGUAAAGCACUUUUGGCAGGAAAGAAACGUCGCGGGUUAAUACCCCGCGAAACUGACGGUACCUGCAGAAUAAGCACCGGCUAACUACGUGCCAGCAGCCGCGGUAAUACGUAGGGUGCAAGCGUUAAUCGGAAUUACUGGGCGUAAAGCGUGCGCAGGCGGUUCGGAAAGAAAGAUGUGAAAUCCCAGAGCUUAACUUUGGAACUGCAUUUUUAACUACCGGGCUAGAGUGUGUCAGAGGGAGGUGGAAUUCCGCGUGUAGCAGUGAAAUGCGUAGAUAUGCGGAGGAACACCGAUGGCGAAGGCAGCCUCCUGGGAUAACACUGACGCUCAUGCACGAAAGCGUGGGGAGCAAACAGGAUUAGAUACCCUGGUAGUCCACGCCCUAAACGAUGUCAACUAGCUGUUGGGGCCUUCGGGCCUUGGUAGCGCAGCUAACGCGUGAAGUUGACCGCCUGGGGAGUACGGUCGCAAGAUUAAAACUUAAAUGAAUUGACGGGGGUCAUAGCUGUUUUCCU